RNAcentral lists this ribosomal RNA (137 nucleotides) under uncultured eukaryote. RNAcentral's name for it is "partial 18S ribosomal RNA". It matches the Rfam family "Eukaryotic small subunit ribosomal RNA", at positions 1299 to 1458 of the family's 1831-position model. The record is from RNAcentral.
UGGUGGGUUGCCUUGUCAGGUUGAUUCCGGUAACGAACGAGACCUCAGCCUGCUAAAUAGCCGUGUCCUCAAUGGGGACACCCGGCUUCUUAGAGGGACUAUUGGCUUUCAGUCAAUGGAAGUAUGAGGCAAUAACA